GAUGAACGCUGGCGGCGUGCCUAAUACAUGCAAGUCGAGCGAACGGACGAGAAGCUUGCUUCUCUGAUGUUAGCGGCGGACGGGUGAGUAACACGUGGAUAACCUACCUAUAAGACUGGGAUAACUUCGGGAAACCGGAGCUAAUACCGGAUGAUAUUUUGAACCGCAUGGUUCAAAAGUGAAAGACGGUCUUGCUGUCACUUAUAGAUGGAUCCGCGCUGCAUUAGCUAGUUGGUAAGGUAACGGCUUACCAAGGCAACGAUGCAUAGCCGACCGGAGAGAGUGAUCGGCCACACUGGAACUGAGACACGGUCCAGACUCCUACGGGAGGCAGCAGUAGGGAAUCUUCCGCAGUGGGCGAAAGCCUUACGGAACAACGCCGCGUGAGUGAUGAAGGUCUUCGGAUCGUAAAACUCUGUUAUUAGUGAAGAACAGAUGUCGAAGUAACUGUGCACAUCUUGACGGUACCUAAUCAGAAAGCAACGGCUAACUACGUG
This 497-nucleotide ribosomal RNA is filed under the name uncultured bacterium. RNAcentral describes it as "partial 16S ribosomal RNA". It matches the Rfam family "Bacterial small subunit ribosomal RNA", at positions 28 to 507 of the family's 1533-position model. The record is from RNAcentral.